CUUUAAUGCGGUAGCUGAUGUCAUCGGUGACAUCAUGACCACCAUUUUGACACUCUUCAGUGAUGGUUGACACACAUGACCCCUUAUCAUUAUGAGUCAAAGAGGAGCUGAAAUAGCAAAACGCUACCGGGAGCGCCGUGAUGCUGACCCUGACAGAAAAAGACAGUAUCUUGAAAAAGAGAGGGUCAGGUGGAAGAAGGACAGAGACACUGGAAAGAAAAAGGGCAUUGAUGAGCUGAGUGAGCGAGAGAAGAGGGCAAAAAGAAAGAAGUGGAGAGAGGCAAAAAAAGCAGCCAGAGCAAAGUCCAGGGCCAGCGCUUUGCUUUUGUCGGAGACACCACCCAGUGAUCAGUCGAAAGUACAUGAACAGAAUAAAAGUUGGAGGCCAGAAGUCAUCGAGGAGAAGCACAUUGGUGAAUGGUGUGUAGUCAACUAUGACAAUGAUGGAUACCCUGGUAUCAUUCUUGAUGUAGAGGAGCACAAUGUGAAAGUGAAAUGCAUGCACAACAAAGGCAUCAACAAAUUCUGUUGGCCAAGUCCUCGUGAUGACAUCAACUGGUAUGGGGAUUGGCAGAUUCUGUGCCUCAUGUCGGAACCACAACUUGUGAACAGGCGUGCCUUCUCAGUUGAGCCAUCUGUAUGGAAGUACAUGGAGGACCAAUUACAGUAGACCUAGAUGUCCUGAUGUUCUGAUGAGUAGCUUACCCUUGAUAUGUGUUCUGAUGUUAACUGAGUACAGUUUGUACCUAACUCAUCCUUUUUAAUGUUUUUCUGUACUGAAUUGCGUUUGUCCACCCUGUCAUGUGAUUUUCCACCCUAUCGUGCCAAUGUCCACCCUGUCAAAUUUAAGUUUAAUGAAAAAAAACAAAAUAUGUAUUGAAUAUACAGUAACCCUGUGUGUGUUUCCUGAUAUCCAAAUGAUUAUCAAACAAUACCAUUAAAAAGUUUUGCUUGUUAGAUUUGUUUUUGUCAUUUUAUUUUAAAAUCAAAGAAGACCUAUGGCCAUCGCUUAGAUAAAACUGCAAUUUUAUUCUAAUUUUAGUAUUUACCAAAGACUUUUCCCAUUACCU
Eleginops maclovinus (Patagonian blennie) is the source of this 1070-nucleotide long non-coding RNA. RefSeq lists it as uncharacterized. NCBI's taxonomy places the organism in Eukaryota, Metazoa, Chordata, Actinopteri, Perciformes, Eleginopidae. The record is from RefSeq and is a predicted model, not a curated record. The transcript has 3 exons.